CGGACGGUAGCACAGAGGAGCUUGCUCCUUGGGUGACGAGUGGCGGACGGGUGAGUAGUGUCUGGGGAUCUGCCCGAUAGAGGGGGAUAACCACUGGAAACGGUGGCUAAUACCGCAUAACGUCGCAAGACCAAAGAGGGGGACCUUCGGGCCUCUCACUAUCGGAUGAACCCAGAUGGGAUUAUCUAGUAGGCGGGGUAGUGGCCCACCUAGGCGACGAUCCCUAUCUGGUCUGAGAGGAUGACCACCCACACUGGAACUGAGACACGGUCCACACUCCUACGGGAGGCAGCAGUGGGGAAUAUUGCACAGUGGGCGCAAGCCUGAUGCACCCGUGCCGCGUGUAUGAAAAAGGCCUUCGGGUUGUAAAGUACUUUCAGCGGGGAGGAAGGCGACGGGGUUAAUAACCGUGUCGAUUGACGUUACCCGCAAAAGAAGCACCGGCUAACUCCGUGCCAGCACCCGCGGUAAUACGGAGGGUGCAAGCGUUAAUCGGAAUUACUGGGCGUAAAGCGCACGCAGGCGGUCUGUUAAGUCAGAUGUGAAAUCCCCGGGCUUAACCUGGGAACUGCUUUUGAAACUGGCAGGCUUGACUCUUGUAGAGGGGGGUAGAAUUCCGGGUGUAGCGGUGAAAUGCGUAGAGAUCUGGAAGAAUACCGGUGGCGAAGGCGGCCCCCUGGACAAAGACUGACGCUCAUGUGCGAGAGCGUGGAGAGCACACAGGAUUAUAUACUCUGGUACUCCACGCCGUAC
RNAcentral lists this ribosomal RNA (753 nucleotides) under Pantoea sp. RNAcentral describes it as "bacterial SSU rRNA". It matches the Rfam family "Bacterial small subunit ribosomal RNA", at positions 63 to 805 of the family's 1533-position model. Lineage: Bacteria; Pseudomonadati; Pseudomonadota; Gammaproteobacteria; Enterobacterales; Erwiniaceae. The record is from RNAcentral.